This 252-nucleotide ribosomal RNA is filed under the name uncultured bacterium. Its description in RNAcentral is "partial 16S ribosomal RNA". It matches the Rfam family "Bacterial small subunit ribosomal RNA", at positions 524 to 776 of the family's 1533-position model. The record is from RNAcentral.
UACGUAGGUGGCAAGCGUUGUCCGGAUUUAUUGGGUUUAAAGGGUGCGUAGGCGGACUGUCAAGUCAGCGGUAAAAUUGAGAGGCUCAACCUCUUCCCGCCGUUGAAACUGGUGGUCUUGAGUGGAUGAGAAGUACGCGGAAUGCGUGGUGUAGCGGUGAAAUGCAUAGAUAUCACGCAGAACUCCGGUUGCGAAGGCAGCGUACCGGCAUCCAACUGACGCUGAGGCACGAAAGCGUGGGGAUCAAACAGG